UGAGUAACGCGUAGGAAUCUACCAAGUAGUGGGGGAUAAGCCAGAGAAAUUUGGUCUAAUACCGCAUACGUUCUUCGGAAGAAAGGAGGGGAUCUUCGGACCUUUCGCUAUUUGAUGAGCCUGCGUGAGAUUAGCUUGUUGGUGAGGUAAUGGCUCACCAAGGCGACGAUCUCUAGCUGGUCUGAGAGGAUGAUCAGCCACACUGGAACUGAGACACGGUCCAGACUCCUACGGGAGGCAGCAGUGGGGAAUAUUGCACAAUGGGCGCAAGCCUGAUGCAGCCAUGCCGCGUGUGUGAAGAAGGCCCUAGGGUUGUAAAGUACUUUCAGCAGUGAGGAAAGGUUGUAAGUUAAUACCUUGCAACUGUGACGUUAACUGCAGAAGAAGCACCGGCUAACUCCGUGCCAGCAGCCGCGGUAAUACGGAGGGUGCGAGCGUUAAUCGGAAUUACUGGGCGUAAAGCGCGCGUAGGUGGAUUGGUCAGUCAGAUGUGAAAGCCCAGGGCUCAACCUUGGAACUGCACCUGAUACUGCCAGUCUAGAAUACGGUA
RNAcentral lists this ribosomal RNA (550 nucleotides) under uncultured bacterium. RNAcentral describes it as "bacterial SSU rRNA". It matches the Rfam family "Bacterial small subunit ribosomal RNA", at positions 107 to 653 of the family's 1533-position model. The record is from RNAcentral.